This is a non-coding RNA of Zea mays, 304 nucleotides long. The record is from Rfam. NCBI's taxonomy places the organism in Eukaryota, Viridiplantae, Streptophyta, Magnoliopsida, Poales, Poaceae.
GCUGAGCAAGUAGCGAUUGCUUGUAACCCGAGCGGGGGCAAUAAGGUAGUGUGGAUGUCAAUUGUGGUGCAUGUGCCUGGGUCUAGUGCUACAAACUGUGGACCACCCAUUCCAAGUUGUGUAGUGGGUUUCGGAUGCCUUGGCGAAAGCCUUUGCAUCCCAACACCUAAAGUGGCGGACAUUGCGUGAGGCUGGCUUCACAGAGCAGCGAGUACCGCCCGCCACCAGCGGUGGAAGGAUAAUGAGUCGCUAUGCUAUAGGCCAAUUGAGGCACAUGUGCCCUCUCUGGUAGACCACUAUCUUU